This 187-nucleotide ribosomal RNA is filed under the name uncultured rumen bacterium. Its description in RNAcentral is "partial 16S ribosomal RNA". It matches the Rfam family "Bacterial small subunit ribosomal RNA", at positions 340 to 524 of the family's 1533-position model. The record is from RNAcentral.
UACGGGAGGCAGCAGUGAGGAAUAUUGGUCAAUGGGCGGAAGCCUGAACCAGCCAUACCGCGUGCAGGAAGGCGGCCUUAUGGGUUGUAAACUUCUUUUAUGGGGGAAUAAAGUGUGCCACGUGUGGCAUUUUGUAUGUACCCCAUGAAUAAGCAUCGGCUAAUUCCGUGCCAGCAGCCGCGGUAAU